UGUUUGCUCUGGUUAAUAAUCUCAGGAGCACAAACAUUCCUGGAGGCAGGAGAAGAAAUCAACAUCCUGGACUUAUCCUCUGGGCCUCUCCCCACCCCCAGGAGAGGCUGUGCAACUGAAUGAACAGCCCUGUCCAAGAGAGGCUAGGACUGGGGCUUCUCCACCCCUGCGCGUCUCAGGCUUCCCAUCUGGACCAUGGGGUUGAUAACUGUAGUCACGCAGGCCCAACAUGAAGGCCUGCCUCCUCCAAUGGCAGACACCCCUGAGCCACCACACAGAUACGGAAAGUGGUCUUUAGCGAGGGAAAGCCACCUCCAAUAUCAUGCAGAACAAGGAGAAGUUGGGGGCUACCACCUCCUCAUUACCAUCAUUAACUAAAACAUCAAAGAUUGAGAAACUUUGUGAACACAAGGAACACGAAGAUAACUGUCCCAGAAAGCUAAACCAAGACAGUAACUGUGCUUAAACUUACAUCAUGGCUUUGAGCUUCCUAGCAGCCAAAGCAAGAAGGGAAUAUAAUCACUGGCCAAGGUUAGGGUGACGGAGCAAAGGAAACACAUUUAUGAAUAGAAGCACACUUGUUCUGGAUACCAGUGAAAGAGGGAUGUACUGACUGAAUCUUACAGAAGGGACAUGAUACACCAUUUGUUUCUGCACUGACUACAUGGGGGAAUCCUUUGAUUCUCACAUAAGCAGGGGUCUUAAUCUUGGGACUGCCUGCCCGAAGGGGUCAUUCCCAGCUCUAACAGAGAGGUGGCUGAGAGUAUGGAAUGUUCCAUGCCAAGAGCAGGGAGGAAGUAAGGACAGUAGAUUUAACCACUGGAGAAGGGAAAUUCAUAGAGAGGCCUUUGGUAUUGCUGGCAAGAGUGUGAGCUCACAGACAACGGACCUGGGUUUUAAAAAAUUCUCAUUUAAAAUCUUAAAUUUAGGCUGAGCGCAGU
Molecule: long non-coding RNA, 941 nt
Organism: Homo sapiens (human)
Lineage: Eukaryota; Metazoa; Chordata; Mammalia; Primates; Hominidae
Exons: 3
Source: RefSeq, a predicted model, not a curated record